GCAGGAAUUCCCUUGCUGAAGGUCUGGUGGUGAGUACAUGUCUUGGUGGUGCAUUUCUUGGGUCCAUUUUAAGUGGUUCAACAGAAGAUGAUGUAUGGCGUCGUAGGGGUUUUCAGUUGAGUGAUUUACCAAUGAUUAUUGGGUCUUUUCUUAGCGCGAUAACAGAAAUCCUGGAAGGUAUGCUUCUUGGGAGGUUUCUUGUUGGAA
Long non-coding RNA from Papaver somniferum (opium poppy), 207 nucleotides. RefSeq lists it as uncharacterized. The record is from RefSeq and is a predicted model, not a curated record. NCBI's taxonomy places the organism in Eukaryota, Viridiplantae, Streptophyta, Magnoliopsida, Ranunculales, Papaveraceae. The transcript has 3 exons.